RNAcentral lists this long non-coding RNA (202 nucleotides) under Capsicum annuum. Its description in RNAcentral is "long non-coding RNA (CANN_LNC016494)". Lineage: Eukaryota; Viridiplantae; Streptophyta; Magnoliopsida; Solanales; Solanaceae. The record is from RNAcentral.
UUUCUUUCCUUUUCCCAAAACAACAAUAAUGGUGAGAUCUCUCUCUUCUUCUCCCCUCUCCAUCUCUUCCCAUCUUCUUCAAAAUUGAAACCCUAGUUGCGUUGUGGCAGCCAUAGCAGCCACCCCUGUAAGAUUCCCCUCUUUUUGUAUCCAUACCAACCCAUGAAUCCCUUCAAGAUCUAAAAAUUAGACACAAAGCGGU